RNAcentral lists this ribosomal RNA (253 nucleotides) under uncultured bacterium. Its description in RNAcentral is "partial 16S ribosomal RNA". It matches the Rfam family "Bacterial small subunit ribosomal RNA", at positions 524 to 776 of the family's 1533-position model. The record is from RNAcentral.
UACGUAGGGGGCAAGCGUUGUCCGGAAUCAUUGGGCGUAAAGAGCGCGUAGGCGGCUCGGUAAGUCCGCUGUGAAAGUCCAGGGCUCAACCCUGGAAUGCCGGUGGAAACUGUCGAGCUAGAGUCCGGAAGAGGCGAGUGGAAUUCCUGGUGUAGCGGUGAAAUGCGCAGAUAUCAGGAGGAACACCAAUGGCGAAGGCAGCUCGCUGGGACGGUACUGACGCUGAGACGCGAAAGCGUGGGGAGCAAACAGG